GUAUUACAUUUCGACCAUCAAAGGUCUACUAGUUACAUUCUAUAGACUUCAUAAUAGGGUGUAUAAAGACAUAGGCGCAGAAAUUAAUCCGCGCCUACAAUGAGUGCACAGGUGGAUUGAAAAGGCGGAGUGCACAUGCGCCUUGCAACGCCAGCAACAUCCAUUGGAUUCAAUAAUGAUCCUUCCGCAGGUUCACCUACGGAAA
Molecule: unclassified non-coding RNA, 205 nt
Filed under: uncultured fungus
Lineage: Eukaryota; Fungi
Description: sequence contains ITS1
Source: RNAcentral